GACUGGCUUGUGAGUGUGGGUCAAGAAGGGUUUUUUUUUGUUGCCCCAAAACUGAUACACUUGUCUAGAGCUACCUCCUUAUCAGCAUUCUCACGUCUUUCACUUUAGCUCUGUAGGAGCAUUUUAUGGCUUUAAAGGAAAAAUUAAUUGCUGUGAAAAUAACAUCUGCAAAUGUAUUAUGAACUAAAUUUAAGUUUGAAAUUUCCCAUUAAUAUUUUUUGUUGUUUAUACUAUUUGCUUAAUUGAAUAUCAGUUUCUAAAGUGCCCACAUGGGAUGGCUUAUGUGGCCCUAUAUGGUCUUUUUGUGGGAAAGACCACUGCAAGUUUGCCACAAAAGGCCAUGCAUGGCCCCAAAGAGCAAAAUGACAACUACAGCUACUUAAUAAACAUCCUAAAGAACAGCUGAAUUAUCACUAGAUAAUUUAAUGUACACUGAUCAGGCAUAACACUACAGCAGGUGAGCUGAAUAACUCAUGGCACUUGUUAGUGGGCGGGAUGUAGUGGGGAGCAUGUGAACUUUUUGUCAAAGUUGAUGUUGGAAGAACAAAAAUGGGUAAGUGUAAGGAUUUGAAUUUAAUUUGGGCUAAACUGUGAUGGCUACACUGGGUCAGAGCAGCUCCAAAACUGCGCCACUUGUGGGCAUCUAUCAAAAGAAGGAACCGUGGUGAACCAGCAACAGGGUCAUUGGUGGCUAAGGGUCAUUGAUUCCAUGUGGGAAGUGAAAGCUGGUCCUUAUAUUCUGAUUCAACACUCAAGCCAAUGCAUGUCAGACUGCAUAAAAGUUGAUGCUGGUUCUGAUAGAAAGCUGUCUGACUACAGGGAAAUCCAUGUAGAGGCCUACAAACUAAGCAUUGUUGCAGACUAUGUACACCCAUUAAUGGAAAUGGUAUUCCCUGAUGGCUGUUGUGUCUUAGAGCAGGAUAAUGCACCCUGCCCCAAAGCAGGGGUGGCUUAAGGAGCUCAACAAGAAGGUUGAGGUUUUGGCUUGGUUUCCAGAUUCCCCAAAUCUGAAUCGGAGUAUCUGUGGGAUGUACUAGAUAAACAAGUCUGAUCCAUGGAGGCCUCAGUUCACAACUUAUAGGAUUGGUUGCUACGACCUUGGUGCAGAUACCACAGCACACCUUCAGGGGUCUAGUAGAUUUGAUGCAUUGACAGGUCAGGGCUGUAUUGGCAGCAAACGGACACCAACAUAAUAUUGGGCAGGUGGUCAUGUUUUUUUUUCUAAUUCUUUUAAAUUUGUCUUCAUCUUUACUGCCAUUUUAAAUCAAAAAGAAGCUACAAACUCGGGAAAGCACUUGUUUCUGGAAUCAGUUUGUUUAACUUUUAGUGUGCAACUUUAACCCUAAAGCUUAAAAUCAACCAGCUUCAACUAGCCAGCCAGUCAGGAGGCUCCAGUGCUAUUGACCUCUUGACUGUUUGGGAGGUUCCUUGGAAAUAAAGCUGGUGGAGCUGUGAUUAAAUUUACACUGCGUUGACAACAUGAGGCACGUCAUCUUGCUCUUUCUGUCUGUCCAUUUUUACCUUGGGAACUUGGUAAGCAUCGAUGGAUCACAAGCUCAUAACAUUCAGCGUCGCCAAACGAGCCCAAAGCUUCAAGACCCUGUAGAGAUCGUCACAGAUAUGACAAUAUCUGCAAGUUGGAACCUCACUGUGGGCAAUACUGCAGUGAUAAACUGCACCGUGCACAAACCAGGAAACGGCCACAAUGUGACUUUGCAGCUGAUGCGGACAAAACUGGGCCUAGAGGAAAAGUUUAAGGUGCUGGUGAGCCAACCAGCUUCAAGAGGGAUCUCAUAUGUACUGGGUCCCAUUACUCAUGAGCACCUGGGAGAGUCUGUAGCUGUGUGGAAGGUGGCAGCGCGCCUAAUGCUGACGUUACGGAUCGGCACCAUUUAAUCUGGGUUACUGACUCGUCUCCAGCAGUCACAAUAAACUUGCUCAGCAUCAACAGGGUCAACUUCUUCGGUGAAAAGACUAUCACUGUUGGGUGCCAGCUGCCUAACAAAGUCAGUGGAAGAUGAUGAGCUUUGACAUGGAUACAGGGACUAUCAGAGUGUGCGGAUCCACAGACUUCAGGCUGCCUCCUGUCUUGCACCAUUAAAACAGAAAUGACUCAUUAGAUUAAAUUAAAAGAUAAUAAGAUGUGCUGGUGUGAAUCUGCAUCAGGGAACAGGAGCAAUAUCCUUGAUGCCUCCCGUGCUGUGAGUGAGCGUCGAAAAGAUUAUAAACUACUGAGAACUUCGAUGAAUGCCCAGUCAGCAUGGUACCUCCAUGUGGGUGACACCACGGAGAUUACCUGCAGUGUGAAUCUGGACAUUUACAACAUCAGCAACAAGAUGAACCUGCAGCUGAUCUGGACUAAGAUGGGGCCUGAAGAGAACAGCACGAAGGUUGUCUCAAGCCAGCUAGCAUCUACAGGCAUUUCCUACACACUGGGUCCUGUUACCCUCGAACAUCAGGGAGUUUACACAUGUGUUGAUGAGAGUUUGCCUGUUCUUGGUAAUCUCUGGCAUAAGAUCAUCUGGGUAGCUGAUGACUCUCCAAUUGUGUCCAUUGAUGUUUAAGUCCCAAACGGAUUCAGUUCUUCAUUGGUGAAAUGGCAACUUUGGCCUGCCAGCUGCCAAAUGAUCAAUCCCAGUGGAAAAUUAAGUGGUUUGACAGUCACAGCGGAGAAAUCGAAGAAUGUAGGUCACUGAACUUGUCUUCCAACCGCCUCCUGACCUGCAAAGUUGAUACGGGGUUGCCCUCCUCUCACAAGCUGUACUGGUGAGUCUGAAAAGGGGGAGAGGAGCAAUGCUCUCAACAUCACCAACAAUGACUCUGUGGUGAGGUCUGCGCUGGGAUGGACAAAGCCAGAGCCACGCCACCCUUCAGAAUCUGUUGGAUUCUGUCCUUGGAAACUACCCACAGGCCAAAGACGUAUAGGGGCGACUCCAGUGGUCCUGGAGGCUCCAACGCUUCCUGUAUUGGAGGGUGAGGAUGUGACAUUCCGCUGUUUAUAUAGAAACCAAACCACCAAAGAAAUCACCUCCAACUUUGACGCCAGCUUCUACAAGGACUUUAGUCCCAUCUAAGCGUGACUCUGAAAGCCGUGACCAAGGCUGAUCAAGGUUUCUACAUAUGCCACCACCCGAUAGCAGGACGGACUAAUGACCUCUAGAUUACUGUUAAAAGCUCGACCUGAAAGCAGGAAGGAGAGGCGAUGGCAGCAUGACGCCAUUAAGUCACCUGCUCCUGCUUAGUGAUGGGCACUCUUCACUGACUGUGCAACAAAUAUUAAAAUUUCACUUGCAGUGUU
This is a long non-coding RNA of Oreochromis niloticus (Nile tilapia), 3298 nucleotides long. RefSeq lists it as uncharacterized. Lineage: Eukaryota; Metazoa; Chordata; Actinopteri; Cichliformes; Cichlidae. The record is from RefSeq and is a predicted model, not a curated record. The transcript has 13 exons.